This is a long non-coding RNA of Oncorhynchus kisutch (coho salmon), 1557 nucleotides long. RefSeq lists it as uncharacterized. The record is from RefSeq and is a predicted model, not a curated record. The transcript is spliced from 3 exons. NCBI's taxonomy places the organism in Eukaryota, Metazoa, Chordata, Actinopteri, Salmoniformes, Salmonidae.
UUGACACCAGUGCGUCACUGGCAGGAAUCAAAUUAUCUGUGGUAUUGAGUUUGAGCGUAGAGUGAAUCAAAGAGAGUGAGGUUAGGUGCAGACAACGAAGAUGGCAACAAGUAGUAAUUCAAACAUGAACUGUAUAGCGCCAGGCUGUAUCCCUUGGUAAAUCCCUGGGUAAACUACGAUCGACUGCCCAAGGACCCACAACUUUCGAAGUGGCUCCAUGUCCUGAGAGGAAGAACGUGUCAGCACGAGCUAGCAGGAUCUGCAAACAGCACUUCGCGAUGAAGGGCACUUUCGAUGCGGCAACUGGGAGUUUCCGAAUGGAAAGGAGUCAUAGGCCUACGUUGAAGCCCUCUGCUUACACCUCCAUUUUAUAUUGAGGGUUAUGGUGCAGGGGUAACCGUCCGACCGACCGGCCGGCCGACCAGACCGACCGACCAUCAUCAACAUCGCUUACUUCGGAGUUAAGCAAAUAAGACUGAACAGAGGAGGCGACGCGAGUCAAUGCAAUGAAGCCUGAGGAUGACAUCUUCAUCCCUGAAAAUUAGGCAGAGGAGGAAAGAACAGUUAGUACAGCAUGCCAAACUGACCCCUGGGUGACAGAGUGUUCCUGUGCUGCGGUGGAGAAGAGGUCCACCGGGACCAUCCCUAAAGAGCUCGAGGACCAGCUAGAUUAAGCUCACAACCAUCAGUGUACAACCGAGUCCUGCCCCUAUACGCCACAGAUGGAGCUGACGGAGAGUGAGAUCAGUGAAGAGCAUAACUUGCUGUAUGAACCUGAGAGCUCAGAAUCUCAAUCAUCACAGUGCGAGCCAAGACAUACGAUCGAUCACUUUGGGGGAGCUGGCUGGUGUUCUGGAGAAGUGGAGAAGGAUGUGUGCUAUCUUGUCCUGCUGUUUUGACUCUCUCAACCUAUGAAUGCUCAGCUAUGAAAAGCCAACUGACAUUUGCUCCUGAGGUGUUGAACUGAUGCACCCUCUACAACCACUGUGGUUAUUCUGUUGAUGUAAUAAGAGGCUUUAGUAAAAUACAUUUGAUUGAUUGCUGCGCUGGAUGCUGUGUAUUCACUAACUGUCUGAGUGAUGGGACAUUUAUAUAGUACCUGUAACUAGGGAUGCACGAUAUCGGAAUCGGACGAUAUUAGAUAAAAAUGACAACAUCGGCCUGAUGUCUAGUUUAACGGCAAUAUGCAAAACCGACGUCAAAGCUGACGUGCAUACCGACACUACCGUUCAAAAGUUUGGGGUCAUUUAGAAAUAUCCUUGUUUUCCAUGAAAACAUACAGAAAUUAGUUGCAGAAUGAAUAGUCAAGACAUUGACCAGGUUAGAAAUAAUAAUUUUCUAUUGAAAUAAUUAGUGUCCGUCAAACUUUGCUUUCGUCAAAGAAACUUCCAUUUGCAGCAAUUACAGCCUUGCAGACCUUUGGCAUUCCAGUUUACCACCACCAAAUCUCCCUUUACCACCACCAAAGCACCCACAGAUCACCACAUUGCCUCCACCAUACUUGACAGAUGGCAUCAAGCACUCCUUCAGCAUUUUUUCAUUGUCUCAAAAAUGUUA